Myodes glareolus (Bank vole) is the source of this 183-nucleotide small nuclear RNA. RefSeq annotates it as U2 spliceosomal RNA. Lineage: Eukaryota; Metazoa; Chordata; Mammalia; Rodentia; Cricetidae. The record is from RefSeq and is a predicted model, not a curated record.
UUCACUUCUGGGCCUUUUUGCUAAGAUCAAAUAUAGUGUCUGUUUUUAUUAGUAUACCAUCUGACUUUUCUUCCUCUGAGAACAAAAUGGUAGAUUUUUGGAGCUGGGAUUGGAACUGGCACUUGAUGUAUACAUUCACACACCAACCUGAUAUUGCAUUACCUCCAGACAAUUGCCCCUUCA